AUACUACUACACGCAUAGGCAGAACUUAUUUCGGGUCUAGUUAACCCCCCCUUUGUCACUUCCUGCAACUCAUGACAAUAAAAUAAUUCAGUUGUCAAUGAACAAAGGUUUCAGUGUGGAAUUCUUAAAGCGUAUGCUUAGUUCUAUAUGUAGAGAAGUUAAAUCUUCAGUUCCUAUAAUAUCUGGGGUAGGUUGGCCUAUUACCCAAAGGAGCAUGCAGAAACAUAGACAAUUCACAUCCUUUGUCAUCCAUGAAACCAUUAACUUCGGUCUCUCUGUUUCAUUUUAUCCCACGUCCCUGGGACCAUCUAAUGCUUGCAUACAGAAGAAACUUGCCCUACCAGUCAUAUGGAACGAAGAACUAAGAAAAUGUAGGAAAAGAUUGGUCUACUGAACUAACAUUCACCAUGAGCAAACAUAUAUGUCGUGUAGAAAUCCCGUAAUUAUUUCUAGGAUUAUGGGAUGAUUUGAUAUUAUUGUAUGAUCAUAUUUAGAGAUUAGGAAUAUUUUUCCUUCCAUGUGUAGAUAGUUACAUUUUUUUGUUCCUGUCUGUAUAUUAUAUAAUGGUGUAUAAGAUUGUAAAUAUUAUGUCGUAUGAAACUAGAAAUUUCCAACUUUCUAUUCCACUUUACAUGGUAUCAGAGCUUGGUCGUGUUUGACCUAGCCGUCAACCAAUAAUGGAAGAACACAGAAAACAGCAACCAAUCGACGACACCCGAGCCUCAAAUCAGCAAGGUAGAAUCCCUCCCGUCAAUGGGCUCAGGCAGAUUGGACAAUUCUUCAUUCCAACUCACUGUGGAAAAAUUGGAUGGAAAAAGGCCCAAUUAAUUAAGCUCAUUAUUGAUGGAAAAGGAAAGCUCGGGUAGCUUAUCGAAGAGAAGCAACAACCUGCCUCAACCGACGCCGUUUCACUGCAGAGAUGGAGAUCUGAAAAUUCGUUUGUGACUACAUGGUUAAUUAACUCCAUGAAACCCGCAAUCGAAACGACAUACUUAUUUCUUUCCACAUCGAAGGACGUACGGGAUGCAGUUCGAGAUAUGUGCUCUGACACUGAGGACUCUUCCAAAAUCUUUGAGAUUAAGACUAAACUAUGGUAAACGAGACAGAGAGACAGGAAGUGACAGAAUGCUUUCUAGAGAUGAGCUCCAUGUGGCAAGAACUCGAUCAGAACACUUAUAAGAAGUGGGACUGCCUGGCUGACACAUUGUGAUACAAAAAGAAAUUGGAAAACGAGAGCGUCUAUGAAUUGUUGGCUGGCCUGAAUUAAGACUUGGAUGACGUGAGGAAGGGGAUUUUGAGUUGUCGACUUUUGCAAUCGCCGAGAGGUCUUAACGGAGGUGCGCAGAGAAGAAAGUCGUCGAAGGGUUAUGUUGAAUGAGGCUAAAGAGGAAGAAAAUGGGUCUGCCUUAAGUUCUAAGGGUAUUGGGCCUAAUGGGUCGACCCCAAUGAUGAAAAAGGCUGCACCUAGUCAUAUAUAUAAUGGACCGGAUAUUCAUUACUCAAAAUGAAAUGGGCUGAAUGAAAUGGGCCCAUUAAAUAAAAGAAAUGGACCUAGAGCUAAUGGGCCCGGAGGAAGACAACAAGGACGUCCAUGGUAUGAUCAUUGUAGUAAAUCGGGAUAUAAAGAGGACAUGUGUAGGGAUCUGCAUGGAAAACCAACUGAUUGGAAACCAAGACAAAAUAAUAGGAAUAGGGGGUACCAAGCUUGUGCUCAUCCGAUUGAAGAAAAACAUAAUCCUACUCAGAGUCGUGCAUUCAAUCCUGAACAAUUGGAACAAUUGUACAAAAUGUUCUCAAAUUUUCAAUCACCCGGUUCGUCAAGUUCUCUAACGCACAAAGGUAUUUUGAGAGCAUUACACAUAAUCACUCACUCCAGAGCUCCUUGGAUUAUUGAUUCAGGUGCGUCUGAUCACAUGAAGAACUCUUAUCAUCUUUUUUCCACAUUCCACUUGUGCUAGUAACAUCAAAGUUAAAAUUGCAGACGGAUCAUUCUCACCCAUAGCAGGAAAAGGGAAUAUUCGAAUCUCUGACCUUAUAACCCUAGAGGCUAUUCUCAUGUUCCGAAUUUAUCUUACAACUUGCUAUCAAUUAGUAAAUUAACGAAAAAUUCCAAUUAUUCAGCUAAAUUCAUCUCAUCUCAUUGUAUUUUUCAGGACCUACCAUCGGGUAAGACGAUUGACAGUGCUAAGGAAUGUGAGGAGCUUUACUACCUUGAACAGGUACAUGUGAGUAAACGAAAUCAAAUUGCAACUUGUGAAUCUGUUUCUACUUCUAGAAAUAGCGAACCUAUGUUAUGGAAUCUUAGAAUGGGUCAUACCAAUUUUCAAUAUUUACUCCAUAUAUUUCCUUCCAUGUUUCCUAAUAAAAAGAUCUUUGAUUUCCAAUGUGAAAAUUGUGAACUAGCAAAGCUCAUCGUUACUCAUUCCCACAAUCUACGCACAAACCGUCGAAACCAUUCACCUUAAUUCAUAGUGUUUUAAGGGGGUCCAUCACUCAUCCCUAGUAGAAUGCACAAAAAAUGGUUCGUAACAUUUAUAGAAAACCAUUCUAGAUUGUGUUAGGUUUACCCACUAAAAGAAAAGUCUGAUAUCCAAACUAUGUUCAAAAACCUCCUUCAAUGUACCAAACACAAAUACAAAUUUUGCGUACUGAUAAUAGCACAGAAUAUUUUAAGACUACCUUGAAAGAAUUUCUCCAAAAACAAGGAAUAAUUUAUCAAAGCUCUUAUGUCGAUACUCCCCUACAAAAUAGGAUUGUUUGAACGAAAAAAUAGAGACAUUUUGAAGAUAACUCGUGCCUUAAUGUUCACCAAAAAUAUGUCGAAAUAUUUUUGGAGAGAUGCCAUCUUAACAUCGACAUAUCUUAUAAAUAGAAUGCCCAGCCGAAUUCUCUCAUUCAAAUCACCUCUCCAAAUGCUUCAAGAUUUUUUUCCCAGUUCCCACCUUAAUUUAAACUUACAUCUCCGAAUAUUCGAGUGUAUUGCCGUUGUCCAUAUGUAUCACCGAAGUAACUCAAUCCUCGUGCACUUAAAUGUGACUUCAUUGGAUACUCAUCCACCCAAAAGGGCUACAAAUGCUAUGAUACAUCCACAAAAAGGAUAUUUGUAAGCAUUGAUGUCACAUUCUUCAAAGAAACUCCCUAUUUUCAAAAGUCCUAUCUUUAGAGGGAGAAGUUGAAUGAAGAUCGACACUUGGGCAAAGAUCAACUCUUAGACUUUACUCUCACCCCUACUGAACCAAUCAUAAACAUGGAAUCUAUCACUCCUAACAUGCCAUCUACAAAGGGAAAUUUAAAUUCAAGGGGAGAUACAAAAAAGCAAGUUACCAAGGAGAUAUUAGCUUACUCAAGAAAAUCAAAAUCAACGUACAAAGAGAACCUCACACCCAAAGCACUAAAAGAGUUGGAACUGAUAAUAGCUUCAGAUCCAUAUGAGAACUCUUUAGAUAAUCAGACCUCUUCAAAUAAUGAGCCUUCAAAAAAGUGACCUACCCAUUGCUCUAAGAAAAAAACCUUGAUCAUGUACUCUUCACCCUAUUUCAAAAUUUGUUUCCUGUAACAAUCUAUCUGCAAGAUUUCACACCUUAUCUUAUAAUCUCGACAAUACAGAAAUUCCAAAAAAUAUUCAGGAGGAUAUGAUUAUUCCAAAAUGAAAAGAAACAAUUUUGGAAGAAAUAUGAGCAUUGGAGAAAAAUAAAACAUGGGAGGUGGUAGAACUACCAAAAGGAAAAAAAACCUAUCAGACGCAAAUGGGUCUUUAAUGUAAAGUAUAAAGCUGAUGGGAUAAUAGAAUAGUACAAACCUCGUCUUGUUGCAAAAGAAUAUACACAAACUUACGGUAUUUAUUACACAAAGACCUUUGCCCCUGUAGCAAAAUUGAAUACUAUUCGGGUUAUCUUAUCCUUACAGCAAACUUGGAUUGAUCUCUCCAACAGCUUGAUAUUAAGAAUGCGUUCCUAAACAGAGAAUCGGAAGAAGUCUUCAUGACACUCAUGAGAAAAAUAAGGUGUGUAAACUUAAAAAGUCACCAUAUGGCUUCAAACAAUCACCAAGAACAUGAUUCGCCAGAUUUGCAAAAGAGUGGAAAAGUCAAAGAUAUCAAUAAGGACAAUCAGAUCAUACUUUGUUUUACCAUCUGAGAAAGGGAUGAAAACAAUCUUAAUUGUUUGAGUUGAUAACAUUGUAGUGACCAGAGAUAAUAUAGUAGAAAUCGACAGGAUUAAGAAAAGUCUAGCCACGGAAUUUGAGGUAAAAAACUUGGGACGGAUGCGAUACUUCCUCGGAAUGGAAAUGGGCUGAUCGAAGAAGUGUAUCAGUGUUUUACAACGGAAGUACAUACUUGAUCUCCCAACUGAGACUGGUAUGCUUGGAUGCAAGCCGAGUGAUACACCACUGGAGAUAAGAAGAAAAGAUUAAAUCACCGGAAAGUUAGUUGAAAUGGACAGAUAUUAGCGACUGGUUGGAAAAUUAAUCUAUCUCUCUCACACUAGACCAGAUAUUGCAUUCGCUGUAAGUGUGGUAAGUCAACACAUGCACUUUCCAAAGGAAGCUCACUUAGAAGCAGUAUACAAAAUCUUCACAUAUCUCCAAGGUACCCCCUAAAAAAGGACUAUUCUUCAUGAAAAAUGAAAUGAAAGAAGAAGUUUUUACUGAUGCAGACUAGGAUGGUUCACGAGGAGACAGGAAAUCAACUACUGGCUUUGCACCUUCGUCUGAGGAAAUUUGGUGACUUGAAAAAGUAAAAAGCAGAAUGUGGUGGCUAAAAGUAGUGCUGAGGCUGAGUUUAAAGCAGUUGCACAAGGAAUAUGGCGAAGGAUUGUGGAUAAAGAAAUUAUUGAACGAAUUACGGACUAUGGUAAAACUUUCGAUCAAACUCUAUUACGACAACAAAGCGGCUAUUAAUAUAUCUCUCAAUCCAGUCCAACAUGAUCGAACCAAACACGUGGAAAUAGACGGACACUUCAUCAAAGAAAAUGUUGAAGAACGGAUUAUAUGCAUGACCUAUGUGCCUACCAAAGAACAAGUUGCACAUAUCCUCACCAAAUGACUGCCACGACAAAAUUUUGAGGAUUUCAUCUACAAGUGGAUAUGGUCAAUAUCUAUGAUCCAACUUGAGGGGAGUAUAGAAAUCCCGUAAUUAUUUCUAGAAUUAUGGGGUAAUUUGAUAUUAUUAUAUAACCAUAUUUAGAGAUUAGGAAUAUUUUUCCUUCCAUAUUUA
RNAcentral lists this long non-coding RNA (5215 nucleotides) under Olea europaea (common olive). Its description in RNAcentral is "long non-coding RNA (OEUR_LNC014128)". The record is from RNAcentral. Lineage: Eukaryota; Viridiplantae; Streptophyta; Magnoliopsida; Lamiales; Oleaceae.